This is a long non-coding RNA of Corapipo altera (White-ruffed manakin), 416 nucleotides long. RefSeq lists it as uncharacterized. Lineage: Eukaryota; Metazoa; Chordata; Aves; Passeriformes; Pipridae. The record is from RefSeq and is a predicted model, not a curated record. The transcript has 4 exons.
CUCACACACAGCAUGGUGCCUGGUGAGUCUGGGUCACUUUUCCAUGUCCCCUCCUCCUCCAGGGAAUGGUUGAUGGGUCUGGAAUGAAGCUGAAGUGCUAAAGUGACCCAGGAGAGCUCAGGUGAGACACAGAUCCUGCACAGAGUCUCUCUCCAUGCUGAAAUGUUCCUUGGAAGCUCCUCAGGGCAUGUGGAGAUGGAAUUCUCCAGGAAAGGGAUGGAGAAGGAUGAGAAAACCUGUUUGUGCUGGUACUGACAGAGAAAUGAAUUUCUGCACUGACUUGAAUUUCAGAGGUGAUUAUAUCUCUUGGAGAACAUGUGGCCUGGAAUUAGUUUAUCCAUGUGCUUUGACCUCCAGCCCAUUCCAGGCCCUGCUUGAAGCCCCCAGGGGAGGGGGGGGGUAUGAGUUUGCUUAAG